UGGUCUCCUGAGCUCAAGUGAUCCUCUUUCCUUGGCCUCCCAAAGUGCUGGGAUUACAGGCAUGAGCCAUCACUCCCGGCCUCGGCAUAGUUGUGUUGGGCAGGUGGAUAAAGUUAUAAAAUCCCUAUAGACUGGAGUCAAAAAUGCCAUUUUUGCCCAAGUGCAAGCUCUCUGCCAGAAUAAAAUGGUAUGAAAUCAAUUAAAUAGGACAGUUUUAUAAUGUCAGGUUCUUAAAUUUGUAUUUUACUCUUUGGGAAGUAUGCAGAUUCCUGUAUUUCUGGCAGAAUCAUCUCUCAUCUUUCUGAGAGGAAGGAAGAAUUCUGUCCUCUCAAAUCAGCGUUAGUGCAAAUUAUAUGAUCAGAGAGUUUAAUCUACCACUUUCCUUGUUGCUGUGUAGAUUUCAGCUAACUUUAUUAUAUGUUGGUGCAUAGCUUCCUAAUAGCUAGAGUUGUUUUCACCCUAAAGUAAGCAACCAGGGUUUUUUAACAACUUGCUCAAAGUGGCAGCCUUAAAAAAAGGUUUUAUAAAAGUGGAAAACCUUGAGAUAAUUGGCAUUAUUCUCCAGUAGGACUUGAGGCAAACUUGUCUUAUUACUCAUAUGGUAUAACAAGUGCCCCUUCUGAUCCAAAGUCAUCUCCUUUCAGGGCAGAAAUAGGAUUACUAUUUUAGGUUCUUGCAUAUAUAGCAGAUUGUUUGGAGAAGGAGAGAAAGGAAGCACUUUUUUUUUUUCUGUUUGUCUCUGCACAUUGUCUUAUUUUUCCCCAAAACUUAUAGACAAACAUUUUGUUCUAGGGUAUAAUUUACCCAUUGGGUCCAUGCAUUUACAUGCAGAUAGGAAAGGAUGCUGAGCUACUUCACCUGUGGGCAUGAUGAUGCAGUCUUCAUUUCCUGGUAAGAGAAGAACAGAAACAUGGAGGAGCCUCUGCUUCAUUUCCUCUCCAUUUCCCUUGCCCCCAGCUCUUGCACCAAAUGUUCAGUUAAGAACCUGUCCAGCUUGCCCGUGGACCCUAGGAGGAUGAGGGAUAUGUACAGCAGAGAUGCCCACCAGCUUGCCAACCCCUGAGUGAGCCCAGCCAAGGUCUCGCGCUGUCACCCAGGUUGGAGAAGGUGCAAUCAUAGC
Cercocebus atys (sooty mangabey) is the source of this 1120-nucleotide long non-coding RNA. RefSeq lists it as uncharacterized. NCBI's taxonomy places the organism in Eukaryota, Metazoa, Chordata, Mammalia, Primates, Cercopithecidae. The transcript has 3 exons. The record is from RefSeq and is a predicted model, not a curated record.